GACGAACGCUGGCGGCGUGCUUAACACAUGCAAGUCGAACGGUGAUGCUCCAGCUUGCUGGAGUGGAUCAGUGGCGAACGGGUGAGUAACACGUGAGCAACCUGCCCCAGACUCUGGAAUAAGCGCUGGAAACGGCGUCUAAUACUGGAUACGAAACUGGCCCGCAUGGGCAUGGUUUGGAAAGUUUUUCGGUUUGGGAUGGGCUCGCGGCCUAUCAGCUUGUUGGUGAGGUAAUGGCUCACCAAGGCGACGACGGGUAGCCGGCCUGAGAGGGCGACCGGCCACACUGGGACUGAGACACGGCCCAGACUCCUACGGGAGGCAGCAGUGGGGAAUAUUGCACAAUGGGCGAAAGCCUGACGCAGCGACGCCGCGUGAGGGAUGACGGCCUUCGGGUUGUAAACCUCUUUCAGCAGGGAAGAAGCGAAAGUGACGGUACCUGCAGAAGAAGCACCGGCUAACUACGUG
Molecule: ribosomal RNA, 468 nt
Filed under: uncultured bacterium
Lineage: Bacteria
Description: partial 16S ribosomal RNA
Rfam family: Bacterial small subunit ribosomal RNA
Source: RNAcentral